This 410-nucleotide ribosomal RNA is filed under the name Candidatus Pacebacteria bacterium CG_4_9_14_0_2_um_filter_34_50. RNAcentral's name for it is "bacterial SSU rRNA". It matches the Rfam family "Bacterial small subunit ribosomal RNA", at positions 1 to 421 of the family's 1533-position model. Lineage: Bacteria; Bacillati; Minisyncoccota. The record is from RNAcentral.
UUUUUUGAGAGUUUGAUCCUGGCUCAGGAUGAACGCUGGCGGUGUGCUUUAGGCAUGCAAGUCGAACGGUAACAGGUCUAGUUUACUAGAUGCUGACGAGUGGCGAACGGGUGAGUAACACGUAGGAAUCUACCUAGUAGCGGGGGAUAGCCCAUCGAAAGAUGGGAUAAUACCGCAUAAGCCCUUACGGGGAAAGCAUUUAUGCACUAUUAGAGGAGCCUGCGCGCUAUCAGUUAGUUGGUGGGGUAAUGGCCUACCAAGACUACGACGGCUAGCCGAUGUGAGAGCAUGAUCGGCCACAAGGUUACUGAGACACGGAACCUACACCUACGGGUGGCAGCAACCGGGAAUAUUGCGCAAUGGACGAAAGUCUGACGCAGCGACACCGCGUGUGGGAAGACGCUUUUCGG